CCUACGGGAGGCAGCAGUGAGGAAUAUUGGUCAAUGGACGAGAGUCUGAACCAGCCAAGUAGCGUGAAGGAUGACUGCCCUAUGGGUUGUAAACUUCUUUUAUAUGGGAAUAAAACGUUCCACGUGUGGGAUUUUGUAUGUACCAUAUGAAUAAGGAUCGGCUAACUCCGAGCCAGCAGCCGCGGUAAUACGGAGGAUCCGAGCGUUAUCCGGAUUUAUUGGGUUUAAAGGGAGCGUAGGUGGAUUGUUAAGUCAGUUGUGAAAGUUUGCGGCUCAACCGUAAAAUUGCAGUUGAAACUGGCAGUCUUGAGUACAGUAGAGGUGGGCGGAAUUCGUGGUGUAGCGGUGAAAUGCUUAGAUAUCACGAAGAACUCCGAUUGCGAAGGCAGUUCACUGGACUGCAACUGACACUGAGGCUCGAAAGUGUGGGUAUCAAACAGGAUUAGAUACCCCAGUAGUC
RNAcentral lists this ribosomal RNA (460 nucleotides) under uncultured bacterium. Its description in RNAcentral is "partial 16S ribosomal RNA". It matches the Rfam family "Bacterial small subunit ribosomal RNA", at positions 338 to 795 of the family's 1533-position model. The record is from RNAcentral.